Molecule: long non-coding RNA, 202 nt
Filed under: Elaeis guineensis (African oil palm)
Lineage: Eukaryota; Viridiplantae; Streptophyta; Magnoliopsida; Arecales; Arecaceae
Description: long non-coding RNA (EGUI_LNC048127)
Source: RNAcentral
AAUCAUCCGGAUUCUCUAGGCGUCGAAUUAUCUUUCUGAAACAACAUCCCAAUGAUGAUCUCACAGAUAUUGAAACAAUAAAACAGUUGGAGAUUUUUUGUAUUUCAAAAAUUAUUAAUACCAGUAGCCAAAUCGGAGCUCGAAGCAGCACAUAACAUGACAACUCCCUUCGUCCAACGUGAUAGACCACAUGACAAUAUGC